AUUGAACGCUGGCGGCAGGCCUAACACAUGCAAGUCGAGCGAGCGGCGGACGGGUGAGUAAUGUCGGGGAAACUGCCUGAUGGAGGGGGAUAACUACCGGAAACGGUAGCUAAUAACGCAUACCAUCAGAUCUGCCCAGAUGGGAUUGGCUAGUAGGUGGGGUAACGGCUCACCUAGGCGACGAUCCCUAGCUGGUCUGAGAGGAUGACCAGCCACACUGGAACUGAGAGACGGUCGAGACUCCUACGGUGGGAAGCAGUGGGGAAUAUUGCACGAUGGGGGCAAGCCUGAUGCAGCCAGGCCGCGUGUGUGAAGAAGGCCUGCGGGUGGGAAAGCACUUUCAGCGGGGAGGCGUUACCCGCAGAAGAAGCACCGGCUAACUCCGUGCCAGCAGCCGCGGUAAUUC
This 406-nucleotide ribosomal RNA is filed under the name uncultured bacterium. RNAcentral's name for it is "partial 16S ribosomal RNA". It matches the Rfam family "Bacterial small subunit ribosomal RNA", at positions 29 to 526 of the family's 1533-position model. The record is from RNAcentral.